ACGAACGCUGGCGGCAGGCCUCAAACAUGCAAGUCUAGGGGUGUAGCAAUACACACCGGCGGACGGGUGCGUAACGCGUGGGAACAUACCUUUCGGUACGGAACAACUGCGGGAAACUGCAGCUAAUACCGUAUACGCCCUUACGGGGAAAGAUUUAUCGCCGAAGGAUUGGCCCGCGUUCGAUUAGCUAGUUGGUGGGGUAAUGGCCCACCAAGGCUACGAUCGAUAGCUGUUCUGAGAGGAAGAUCAGCCACACUGGGACUGAGACACGGCCCAGACUCCUACGGGAGGCAGCAGUUGGGAAUCUUGGACAAUGGGGGAAACCCUGAUCCAGCCAUGCCGCGUGAGUGAUGAAGGCCUUCGGGUUGUAAAACUCUUUCGACGGGGACGAUAAUGACGGUACCCGUAGAAGAAGCUCCGGCUAACUUCGU
This 431-nucleotide ribosomal RNA is filed under the name uncultured bacterium. RNAcentral describes it as "bacterial SSU rRNA". It matches the Rfam family "Bacterial small subunit ribosomal RNA", at positions 29 to 506 of the family's 1533-position model. The record is from RNAcentral.